This is an RNA transcript of Pararge aegeria (speckled wood butterfly), 1467 nucleotides long. It is a transcript of the gene named acanthoscurrin-1-like, with no coding region annotated. The record is from RefSeq and is a predicted model, not a curated record. Lineage: Eukaryota; Metazoa; Arthropoda; Insecta; Lepidoptera; Nymphalidae. The transcript has 4 exons.
AAUUAAUCUUUGAAUUCACUUUACUUUACGUAUCUAAUUUUGUCCUUAGCGCUGUAAUUUAAAGUCAACAUGCGGAAAUCUAUUAUAUUUAUUCUUUGCAUUGUCGCUAUGUCGUACAUAACUGAGGCGAAACCAGCUUGUGGUUAUUGGGGCUGCAGUGGUACAAUUAAUAACAUCGGAAAUGGCAGAAGGAACAACAACACAAUAUAUAUGAGAAGCGGUAGUCGGGGUGGUAAUGGCGGCGGUUAUGAAGGUGGUAACCGUGGCGGUUACAACGGCUAUGGUGCAGGCGGUAACGGUGACGGUUACGGCGGAGGUUACGGCGGAGGAUACGGCGGUGGUGGUGGCGGUGGUUACGCCGGUGGUGGUGGCGGUGGUUACGGCGGUGAUUACGGCGGUGGUUACGGUGGUGGUUACGGCGGUGGUUACGGCGGUGGUUACGGUGGUGGUUAUGGCGAUGGUAACGGCGGUGGCAACGGUGGCAGUAACAGCGGUAAUAAUGGUGGCGAUUAUGGUGGCGGAUUCGGUGGUGAUUAUGGUGGUAAUAACGACGAUGAGUACGACGAAGGAUGUUCCGGCGGCAACUGCGGGGGAAGUACCAUAAAUAAUGUCGGAAACGGACGGGGAAACAUUAACGACGUACAUAUGAAACCGGGAAGAACAGGUUGUUGGGGCGGAAACUGCGGUGGUCGCAGGGAAAACAACAUUGGAAAUGGUCGAAACAAUAACAACGUAGUUGAUGGAUUAGUUUCUACGAAUACGGUCUCAUCUCUCCUGAGAACACAUAGUGAAAGUGUAAUUAAAUAAUUCAAUAUGCAGAAGGCUGUAUUAUUUACUCUUUGCAUUUUGGCAAUGUUGACAACAAUAGAGGCAAAGCCUUCAUGCUGGUGUGUUGGUCAUUUGAAUUUCUGUGAUGAUAGGAAAUACAUUAUUGUCGAAAACAGAAAAUAUUGCAAAACAACGACUAUCAAAAAAUAUUUUUCCAGAAAAGACAACAGACGUGGUAUGUGAACCUUUUAAAACAUACGUAAUAAAAAAACCGCGAAAUGUAUGCCUACAUGUAGAUUGAGUUCGCAUUUAAAACACCGAACUAUUUAUCAUCAUCUGUGUUUUAUAAGUAUUCAUAUAUAUUAUUCUUAAAAUUAUUCAUCAGUGAUCUUAGUACCCAUAACACAAGGUACGCUUACUUUGGGGCUAUACGACUAUGUGUGUAUUGUCGUAUAUACUAUAUAGAACUAUAGUAUAUUUAUUUUAUUUCUUUAAUUUAAUUGGUAGCUAGAGGAUUAUUGCUAUUACUUUUCAAUAAAAAGGUGCAGCAGAAGCCUAAAAAUCGGUUGAAAUAAAACUGAGUUUGUUUAAAAUCUUUCAUUCCUUAUACCGGAAGAGCCCUAUGGUUUUUGGGAAAAAAAUAGCUUUGAUGUUCACCCGGAGUAUCAGUUCGCGCACUUCACGGAAACUACUGAUCGA